Molecule: transfer RNA, 63 nt
Filed under: Salpa thompsoni
Lineage: Eukaryota; Metazoa; Chordata; Thaliacea; Salpida; Salpidae
Description: tRNA-Pro
Source: RNAcentral
AAUACUUUGGUGAAAAUAUCAUAUUUUCUCUGGGAGAAAAAGUUGCAUUAAGAGCAAGUAUUA